AUUCGACCUCGCAGUGUGUGGAUGGACGCAAAAAGAAAGUGGAGAGCACGCAACUGGCAAAACCUUCAUUAAAUAUGAGCAUCUCAAAGAUCGAUGGGCAAGCAAAGGCAUUUUCAUCGUAUAUAUACAAUUUUAUAUUUUUCACUGUUACACAGAUAACUGUGCUUCGAUCCGAUCAAUCGCAUCGUCCUAAAGAGAAAGAAAUUACUACUAGAACCUGACAAAACCGAGCCACGAGCGCUGGUCCACCAUGGGUGGGGACUUAGUUGCUUUAAUUUUACUGAGUAGCAGACGCAAUAUAAAUGAUUAUGUUUAUACUGUUAAAGUAAUUUACUGAAAAAUGACGCCCAGCCAAAACAAGAUAAUCCCAUUGUGAUCUACCCUUGCUAUUCUUUCUUGCCGACCGUCAAAGCCAACCGCUUUAGCUGGAGGUUAAGUAGCUUGCUGUCUACUUAAGCAUAAUCGAAGUAUGGUGUAACGAUCUAGCCAUCAGACGUCGAGUUUGAUCAUCGGUACCUCGGAGGCUCGCCCAGCUUUAUCACAACAUUUUGCAAUGAAGAUGGAUAAGUGUGGUCAAAUGCAAGCUGCUGAUCUGUUCCAUGAUCGUUUUUCCGUUCUCCUACUCUGCUACUCUGCUGGUAGCCAAGGUGCGAGAUCUGCAAAUAAUGUGGAAAAAGCAGUCGCAGCCGCAGCUCCAGCCCCAGACACAGCCCGCUUGGCUGAUCUCGUGGUCACCCCCUACCGUUCCUUAAGCGAAAAACGAAGUCGCCUUUUCUGUGGCCUCUUGUGUACGGCUCUAUUAACCCCUGCCGCUGAUUUGGUGAUAACGAUCGUAAUCGUAGCGGUUCUCUAGGUGCAACACAUGUUGCACUUGGUUCCCCCACCCUCCAACAUGACGGGGAAUAUAGCAUAGUGUGCUAUAUUAUUUUCCCUAAUUUAGAAAAUAGUUCUUGCAGCACAAAUUAGUAUGAUUCGCUGUUCGCAUUUAUCGUACGUUCGCCUUGUUAAAAUCGGCUGUGCCUGCCUGUCGCUUUCCCUGAAAAGCCAAAUUGGAAUCAAACCGUCGGGGGAAACAUGUGAUUUGGCUCCUAUAUGGUUAUGGUUAUGUGUUGGCUAUGAGACCCGUAGCUAUUUCUGCAUAGUUGGGGCAAAUAGAAUUCGAAAGUGGUUACCAGCCCUUACUAACUCAUCUUUCUUUGUUGGUAAAUGGCCAAUUUUCGGUUGAGG
RNAcentral lists this long non-coding RNA (1227 nucleotides) under Drosophila guanche. Lineage: Eukaryota; Metazoa; Arthropoda; Insecta; Diptera; Drosophilidae. The record is from RNAcentral.